CUGGCCCUGGUCGGUGUCCGCGCUGUAGAAGGUCAGCAUCUGCUUGGUGAUCAGGGAUGGGUUGGACACCAUCUGAGGAGAACAGGGAAGAACAAGGGCCGGCAGGGCUGGGUGGGGAGAGAGGACGACCUCCGCCCCGCCGCGCCGGGACCCUCGCCCCUCCCAUGCAGGUCAGGCCCCUCCCCAGGCCUCGCCGGGCUCACGUAGUCACGGUGGGUGUAGGACGUGAUGCAGGAGGCGCACUCGAAGAUGUAGACGAUGAGCAUGAGCACCAGUGUCCCCAUCCCCCAACCCCUGGAGUCUCACCGUGAGGACCAUGGACCGGCGGCGGCAGAGUGCGGCACCCACACCAAAACUGGCUACCAUGAAGAAGGAGAAGCCGCAGAAGAUGGCAAUCCAGGCACCAGCGAAGACGUCAUCCUUGCCUGAGACUCCCAUCAGUGGGUAUACACGGUACUGGUCGGCUGUCACCCAUAUGGUCUCAGCAAACAGGGACAGGCCUGACAGCUGGACAGAGCGGUGGGUUAGGAAGGUCUGCUCGGGGCCAGCAGCCCUGGCACCAGGCAUCUCCACGAGCAAGUUCCCUCCCC
RNAcentral lists this long non-coding RNA (590 nucleotides) under Homo sapiens (human). RNAcentral's name for it is "non-protein coding UPK1A-AS1:2". The record is from RNAcentral. Lineage: Eukaryota; Metazoa; Chordata; Mammalia; Primates; Hominidae.